UACGGAGGAUCCGAGCGUUAUCCGGAUUUAUUGGGUUUAAAGGGUGCGCAGGCGGAUUUUUAAGUCAGCGGUCAAAUCGUGGGGCUCAACCCCAUCCAGCCGUUGAAACUGGCUUGCUAGAGUGGGCGAGAAGUAUGCGGAAUGCGUGGUGUAGCGGUGAAAUGCAUAGAUAUCACGCAGAACUCCGAUUGCGAAGGCAGCAUACCGGCGCCCAACUGACGCUCAGGCACGAAAGCGUGGGUAUCGAACAGG
RNAcentral lists this ribosomal RNA (252 nucleotides) under uncultured Bacteroidales bacterium. Its description in RNAcentral is "partial 16S ribosomal RNA". It matches the Rfam family "Bacterial small subunit ribosomal RNA", at positions 524 to 776 of the family's 1533-position model. Lineage: Bacteria; Pseudomonadati; Bacteroidota; Bacteroidia; Bacteroidales. The record is from RNAcentral.